This 311-nucleotide long non-coding RNA is filed under the name Citrus sinensis (sweet orange). RNAcentral describes it as "long non-coding RNA (CSIN_LNC003078)". The record is from RNAcentral. Lineage: Eukaryota; Viridiplantae; Streptophyta; Magnoliopsida; Sapindales; Rutaceae.
AUCUCUCGUUUAUUGUGAAAUGACUAUGACGCCCCUAAAAUACACAAAAUACUUAAUUAAAAUAAAACACACAUAAUUAAAUUACAAGAACCUUAAAUACAUAAAAGUAAGGGUUGCUAGUAAGACUUGAAAUGUAAAAUAACGAUUUUCUCCUUUAUAAAUAUACAUUUUCUAACACUCAACACACCGCCCAACCAGCUUAUUGCUAGUCCCUAGCAAAUAAAGCGAAAAUAAAAUUCAAACACAAUUUUUUUUUUUAACAAUCUUGUUUAUUCAAUCAGACUAAUGAUAGCAAUCAAAUAAAAAUAUAA